Molecule: ribosomal RNA, 474 nt
Filed under: uncultured bacterium
Lineage: Bacteria
Description: bacterial SSU rRNA
Rfam family: Bacterial small subunit ribosomal RNA
Source: RNAcentral
CACAUGUGACGAGUUUGAUCAGUGGCUCGAGAGCGAACGCGUAGCGGGUGGCUUAACACAUGCAAGUCGAGCGGGUCUUCGGGCCAGCGGCGAACGGGUGAGUAACACGUAGGAUAUCUGCCUUUUGGUGGGGCAUAGCCGGGGGAAACCCCGAUUAAUACCGCAUAUGGCCUAUGGGUCAAAGCCUUCGGGCGCCAAGAGAGGAGCCUGCGGCCCAUUAUUUAAUCCUAGUUGGUGGGGUAAUGGCCUACCAAGGGUACGAUGGGUAGCUGGUCUGAGAGGACGAUCAGCCACACUGGAACUGAGACACGGUCCAGACUCCUACGGGAGGCAGCAGUGGGGAAUAUUGCGCAAUGGGCGGAAGCCUGACGCAGCCAACCCGCGUGUGUGAUGAAGGCCUUCGGGUUGUAAAGCACUGUCGUGUGGGAAGAAGAUCUGACGGUACCUCACAAGAAAGCACCGGCUAACUCCGUG